Long non-coding RNA from Olea europaea var. sylvestris, 935 nucleotides. RefSeq lists it as uncharacterized. The transcript has 2 exons. NCBI's taxonomy places the organism in Eukaryota, Viridiplantae, Streptophyta, Magnoliopsida, Lamiales, Oleaceae. The record is from RefSeq and is a predicted model, not a curated record.
AAUUAUCUUGUAAAUCGAGGUACGCCAAUGCCGGAAGGGAAAUUGAACACGCCCAUCUCACUAGGAUUGGUCAAACUUGAAGAAGCUUCUCGGUUCAUGCCUUUUUACCUUGCAUCACCUGGUAGAAACUAUAUAAUCCUUGUCGAUCAUUGAAAUAUAUGUAGAGAGAGAGAGAGAGAGAGGGAAUUGGCAGAUUUGUUUAUUGAGCAGGCAAAGCAAUUUUCAGAGACAAGGCCCAGUUAUCCACAGGAAUUGUUCCAAUUCAUUGCAACAAAAACUCCAUCUCACGAUCUCGUUUGGGAUGUUGGCACUGGAAGUGGCCAGGCUGCAGCAUCUUUAGCAAAGGUCUACAAGAAUGUGGUGGGCACAGACACAAGCCAAAAACAACUUGAUUUUGCUGCCAAUUAAAACUAUACUUGCUAAUACUUCAAGAUCGGUUUAAAAAGUCCAAAACUUGCUAUAUUUUCAAAUGCCUCACUUGCUGUGUGUGUGUGUGUGUGUGUGUGUGUAUAUAUAUAUAUAUAUAUAUAUCAUGGCAUACUUUAUAUGCAGUAUUCGACUUGACUAAAGAUAUAAAAUUUACCUAUAAAGAAAGGCAUUGUCUGAAUACCUCCUUUACGUCUAGCGAGCGGCGCAGGAGUCUUUUCCACUUCUGAAUUCUCCAUAUUUUCUCAACUGGGAAGAAAAACCCUUUUGGUUUACAAGGGAAAUGAGUUGAAGGAGAGAAGGAGAGCUCAAUUUCUACAUGCUCCAGGAAACAAGAAUAGUUUGUUUCUUCUUUUAUGGAUUAUAUGGGGUGGAACGGCUAUGCUAUUUAUUUUUCUCUUCAUUAAAUUCAUAACUAUAAUUUUUGUUUUGUAUCGUGGAGCACUAAUUGCAAAAGCCAAGGAAUAUAAUAUUAAAUAUCAAUGAAUUAUAAGAGAAUUGAUUGCCAA